Molecule: long non-coding RNA, 547 nt
Filed under: Cucumis sativus (cucumber)
Lineage: Eukaryota; Viridiplantae; Streptophyta; Magnoliopsida; Cucurbitales; Cucurbitaceae
Description: long non-coding RNA (CSAT_LNC001010)
Source: RNAcentral
UCGUAUUUACUUCAUGUUUCAACUAUUUCUUUGGGCGAACUAUGGGAGGAUUUCUCAUUCACGUCAUCCAAGAUAAUGACUUGAGCUAGCCAAUGUUGGACAUAUGCUCUGUGUUUUUCCCUCAGAGAACUAUUUGAUUAAUUUCUGUACAUUGCAUUAACAAAUGGAUAAUGAUACGUGUCUGACAAUGAAAUUAACCACGCAAAAAAAUUAAACUUUUGUGAAUUGAUGUUCUCCUGGGGCUUGCCUCAUAUAAUCUAAGAAUGCCAUUUAACAAUUGGUUUCCAUCUUUUUUAGGUUCGACAACUGACAAUAACGAUAAGGUAACUUCCUCAACUUACUCUAACUCCGUUUGCAGUUAGAUAAAAGACUAGUGAUCAAUUUCGUAUCUCUUACAUGCAGAACUAUCGUGAACGGACUAUGCUACCUUGCAACAUUUGUUUUCGGAAUUAAUGCAAUUGGUUUAUUCCUUUACUCUGGUCAGUUGGCCAUGAAUUCUGUUAUGGAAGAAGGUUCCAAAGACACAGAACCUAAAGCUAAAAGUGAU